CUUGGUCAUUUAGAGGAAGUAAAAGUCGUAACAAGGUUUCCGUAGGUGAACCUGCGGAAGGAUCAUUGCAGAUUGAAAUCACGUCGGAGCCUGUCGCAGUACCCCGGGCUUGGCUGGCAAGCGCUCUCUCGAAAGCGUUUCUGCUUGGCCCCGUAUUUGCACGGAUCAUGACUGAUCGAUAAACCAACCAUCACCAUUGUGCACCAAUUGCUGCGGCAUCUCUUCUCACACACACACACGCCAGACCAUUGAAUGUCAAAAGAAUUAAAUGUUAAUUGACACAACUUUCAACAACGGAUCUCUUGGCUCUCGCAUCGUUGAAGAACGCGGCGAAAUGCGAUAAGUAGUGUGAAACGCACCCUUUAGUGAAUCAUCGAAUCUUUGAACGCACCUUGCGCUCUUUGUGGUUUCGCGAUCCGAAGAGCAUGCCUGUUUGAGCGUCGUCCUGAUUUUUCUCAACCCUUACGACUUACUUGCAAGGGCUUGGAUGUAUGAUGGGGGAAAAGAAUGCAGAGAAUGGAAAUACUAGUCCCUUUCUCUUCCUCUGCUCCCCUCAAAUGCGUCUCGGCCGCAAGAAAGUCGGGAAAUGUUCUGGCGUGAUAAGAUCUAUUCGAUUCGCCCAGGACCCCGGCUAUAUCUUGCGGGGGAGAAUUUAUAUCUCUAUACACCAUGACCUUGACGACCUCAAAUCAGGUAGGACUACCCGCCGAACUUAAGCAUAUCAAUAAGCGGAGGAAAAGAAACUAACAAGGAUUCCCCUAGUAACUGCGAGUGAAGCGGGAAGAGCUCAAAAUUUAAGUCUGGCAGACCCUACAAGAAUGAUUGGUUUUUUGUACGGGUGUCCGAAUUGUAGGCUAGAGAGGCGUCAUCCAAGCCCCAGGCCCGUGUAUAAGUCUCCUGGAACGGAGCGUCAUAGAGGGUGAGAAUCCCGUCCAUGACACGGCGUGCCGGGGCCUAUUUGUGAGGCGCUCUCGACGAGUCGAGUUGUUUGGGAUUGCAGCUCAAAAUGGGUGGUAAAUUCCAUCUAAAGCUAAAUAUUGGCGAGAGACCGAUAGCGAACAAGUACCGUGAGGGAAAGAUGAAAAGAACUUUGAAAAGAGAGUUAUACAGUACGUGAAAUUGUUGAAAGGGAAACGCUUGAAGCCAGUCUCGUUGGCCGGAAAGAGGCAUGUCUUGGAAGAGGGUUGAGAGGACCGGUUUGACUUGGUUGGCAUGUCGGUGUGCUGGCCAAAUCCCGCUUUCCCCCCCGAGAAGCCACUGACUUUUUCCCGCCCGACGGGUCAGCAUCAAUUUUGACCGUCGGACAAGGUCCAGGUGGAAUGUGGCAACGUCCGUUGCGUUUAUAGCCCCUGGUGUUUUUAAAUAAACCGAAAGCUUACGACGGUUGGGAUUGACGAACAGAUGGGCGUGGGGCCGCACCUACACGGUAAUAAAUACCGAUUGUGCGUGAAUGAUCCUAAUAUGUGACAUUUGUCUCCACUAUAUUUGCCCGGGAUGCUGGCAUAAUGGCUUUAAUCGACCCGUCUUGAAACACGGACC
Molecule: ribosomal RNA, 1539 nt
Filed under: uncultured fungus
Lineage: Eukaryota; Fungi
Description: eukaryotic LSU rRNA
Rfam family: Eukaryotic large subunit ribosomal RNA (bases 680-1539)
Source: RNAcentral